This 112-nucleotide ribosomal RNA is filed under the name Opitutales bacterium. The record is from RNAcentral. Lineage: Bacteria; Pseudomonadati; Verrucomicrobiota; Opitutia; Opitutales.
UGGUGAUCAUAGGUGAGGGGAAACACGCGUUCCCAUUCCGAACACAGCCGUUAAGCCCUCGACCGCCGAUGGUAGUAGGACCCCGUUGUUCUGUGAGAGUAGGUUGUCGCCA